CACGUAGGGUGCGAGCGUUGUCCGGAUUUACUGGGUUUAAAGGGUGCGUAGGUGGGUAAGUAAGUCAGAGGUGAAAUCUUCGAGCUUAACUCGGAAACUGCCAUUGAUACUAUUUAUCUUGAAUACUUUGGAGGUAAGCGGAAUAUGUCAUGUAGCGGUGAAAUGCUUAGAUAUGACAUAGAACACCAAUUGCGAAGGCAGCUUACUACACAGUUAUUGACACUGAGGCACGAAAGCGUGGGGAUCAAACAGG
RNAcentral lists this ribosomal RNA (253 nucleotides) under uncultured bacterium. RNAcentral describes it as "partial 16S ribosomal RNA". It matches the Rfam family "Bacterial small subunit ribosomal RNA", at positions 524 to 776 of the family's 1533-position model. The record is from RNAcentral.